AGAGUUUGAUCAUGGCUCAGAUUGAACGCUGGCGGCAGGCCUAACACAUGCAAGUCGAGCGGUAGCACAGAGAGCUUGCUCUCGGGUGACGAGCGGCGGACGGGUGAGUAAUGUCUGGGAAACUGCCUGAUGGAGGGGGAUAACUACUGGAAACGGUAGCUAAUACCGCAUAAUGUCGCAAGACCAAAGUGGGGGACCUUCGGGCCUCAUGCCAUCAGAUGUGCCCAGAUGGGAUUAGCUAGUAGGUGGGGUAACGGCUCACCUAGGCGACGAUCCCUAGCUGGUCUGAGAGGAUGACCAGCCACACUGGAACUGAGACACGGUCCAGACUCCUACGGGAGGCAGCAGUGGGGAAUAUUGCACAAUGGGCGCAAGCCUGAUGCAGCCAUGCCGCGUGUGUGAAGAAGGCCUUCGGGUUGUAAAGCACUUUCAGCGGGGAGGAAGGCGGUGAGGUUAAUAACCUCAUCGAUUGACGUUACCCGCAGAAGAAGCACCGGCUAACUCCGUGCCAGCAGCCGCGGUAAUACGGAGGGUGCAAGCGUUAAUCGGAAUUACUGGGCGUAAAGCGCACGCAGGCGGUCUGUCAAGUCGGAUGUGAAAUCCCCGGGCUUAACCUGGGAACUGCAUUCGAAACUGGCAGGCUAGAGUCUUGUAGAGGGGGGUAGAAUUCCAGGUGUAGCGGUGAAAUGCGUAGAGAUCUGGAGGAAUACCGGUGGCGAAGGCGGCCCCCUGGACAAAGACUGACGCUCAGGUGCGAAAGCGUGGGGAGCAAACAGGAUUAGAUACCCUGGUAGUCCACGCCGUAAACGAUGUCGAUUUGGAGGUUGUGCCCUUGAGGCGUGGCUUCCGGAGCUAACGCGUUAAAUCGACCGCCUGGGGAGUACGGCCGCAAGGUUAAAACUCAAAUGAAUUGACGGGGGCCCGCACAAGCGGUGGAGCAUGUGGUUUAAUUCGAUGCAACGCGAAGAACCUUACCUGGUCUUGACAUCCACAGAACUUUCCAGAGAUGGAUUGGUGCCUUCGGGAACUGUGAGACAGGUGCUGCAUGGCUGUCGUCAGCUCGUGUUGUGAAAUGUUGGGUUAAGUCCCGCAACGAGCGCAACCCUUAUCCUUUGUUGCCAGCGGUCCGGCCGGGAACUCAAAGGAGACUGCCAGUGAUAAACUGGAGGAAGGUGGGGAUGACGUCAAGUCAUCAUGGCCCUUACGACCAGGGCUACACACGUGCUACAAUGGCAUAUACAAAGAGAAGCGACCUCGCGAGAGCAAGCGGACCUCAUAAAGUAUGUCGUAGUCCGGAUUGGAGUCUGCAACUCGACUCCAUGAAGUCGGAAUCGCUAGUAAUCGUAGAUCAGAAUGCUACGGUGAAUACGUUCCCGGGCCUUGUACACACCGCCCGUCACACCAUGGGAGUGGGUUGCAAAAGAAGUAGGUAGCUUAACCUUCGGGAGGGCGCUUACCACUUUGUGAUUCAUGACUGGGGUGAAGUCGUAACAAGGUAACCGUAGGGGAACCUGCGGUUGGAUCACCU
This 1528-nucleotide ribosomal RNA is filed under the name Klebsiella pneumoniae. RNAcentral describes it as "bacterial SSU rRNA". It matches the Rfam family "Bacterial small subunit ribosomal RNA". The record is from RNAcentral. Lineage: Bacteria; Pseudomonadati; Pseudomonadota; Gammaproteobacteria; Enterobacterales; Enterobacteriaceae.